RNAcentral lists this ribosomal RNA (427 nucleotides) under uncultured bacterium. Its description in RNAcentral is "bacterial SSU rRNA". It matches the Rfam family "Bacterial small subunit ribosomal RNA", at positions 355 to 774 of the family's 1533-position model. The record is from RNAcentral.
UGGGGAAUUUUGCGCAAUGCCCGAAAGGGUGACGCAGCGACGCCGCGUGAAUGAAGAAGGUCUUCGGAUCGUAAAGUUCUUUCGACAGGGAAGAAAUUUAUUGCGAGUAACUGCGCAGUAAUUGACGGUACCUGUAUAAGCAGUCCCGGCUAACUCCGUGCCAGCAGCCGCGGUAAUACGUAGGGGGCAAGCGUUGUCCGGAAUUACUGGGCGUAAAGAGCACGUAGGCGGUAACCUAAGUCAGAUGUGAAAGACCAGGGCUUAACUCUGGGGUUGCAUACGAAACUGGGUAACUAGAGUGCAGGAGAGGAAAGUGGAAUUCCUAGUGUAGCGGUGAAAUGCGUAGAUAUUAGGAGGAACACCAGUGGCGAAGGCGGCUUUCUGGACUGUAACUGACGCUGAGGUGCGAAAGCCAGGGGAGCGAACG